Long non-coding RNA from Rosa rugosa (rugosa rose), 736 nucleotides. RefSeq lists it as uncharacterized. The transcript has 3 exons. The record is from RefSeq and is a predicted model, not a curated record. NCBI's taxonomy places the organism in Eukaryota, Viridiplantae, Streptophyta, Magnoliopsida, Rosales, Rosaceae.
ACGUGUCCACGUGUCCCCGAUAAGACACUUUUUUUCUUUUCUUUUCUUUUUUUUGGCUAACACUUUCUUUUCUAUUUUACCUCAUAAAUAUUGUGUCAGAUUUCAAGGUCUCUUUCCAUGUUUGUUUCAGAUUAAAAAAAUAAAUAAAAAAGCCAUGAGUUGAACUCCUUGGGAACGAAGAGGAUGAUCUGAGUUUGUUUCUGUCCCCUCCACGCGAAACCCUAAACGAUCAGCACAAAACGAUGAGCAACCGACGAUUAGCUACCGGGUAUGGUGAUUCCAGUGAUGUUGGAGCAAUAUUUGUGCACUCUCCUCCAACGAAAGCUCGAGGACCGGCUCCCUGCCAUUAUCACAGCCCACCAACAACUUCCAUUGCACCUCUCCAACUGACGCACAAUCAAAACUUUGGGUUUAUUAGAUUCAUGAAGAAGUAUUUGAAGUGCUUUAGGGGUUCUGCACCUGUAACUUGACAAUUGAGACUGACAGGCGCACUGGAUUGAAUGGAUCAGAGGGAGUCAUUACUCAUGUAUUAUUGAACGGCUAUACAUGCAGUUUUUGUUAUGUUAUUAAUUGAAAUACAAGCUGCUAGGAUUUGGAUGGUGAACAUACUGUGGUCUAUUGACGACUUUUAGUGUAUUUCAAUGAGAUGUCCUUUUGGUUAAAUGAACCAAUUUAUCAACAUCCUGAGUGUUUGCUUCCACGUCAUUUCGACUUUACUUGACACAUUUGUUCCAGA